Molecule: long non-coding RNA, 2437 nt
Organism: Eriocheir sinensis (Chinese mitten crab)
Lineage: Eukaryota; Metazoa; Arthropoda; Malacostraca; Decapoda; Varunidae
Exons: 4
Source: RefSeq, a predicted model, not a curated record
UCAGGGAUUAGCACAUCUCACAUCUGAGGGUGGACGUGCCGCUCUCUUCCCUAACUGAACUUCUGCCUAUUAUUAUUGGUGUUGUGUCUCGCCAUGCCACCCAAGCUUUCAAAAUACCCUGGUCCUGCUGGCCACUCGUCGAGAACUCCAAAGCAAGAUGGCAUUAUCCCGAAAACAAAAGGACUGGUUGGUACUCGAUCCCAGAGGAGGGGGACCCCCGAUCAGCUGGUCAUGGUGGCACGCGGGUAUCAAGCUAUCAACUCGGACUGAUGGUCAACCUGCGGGUGAUUUUGACAUGCGGCAGCUUGGGGUCGCCCGCAGGGUCCUCCGCCCCAAGGGAAUGACCAGGACAUGCGCCUCCCCCCGCCAGGCAUGGGGGGGGGAGGUGGUGGAGGUGGAGCGCCGUCACACCAUGAUAACAGGUUUCCCCGUGACCCGCGUGCCGAUUUCGUUGACCAGCGGGGCAUACAGUGCUUCUGAGAGCCCCCGCCCCAGCCCCGAGACCUGCGGGGUGACCCACUGGACUUGAGGUCCUGGUGGCACCCGACCCGAGCUACUGGUACUGCCGUUGGCUGGCGGAUGAGAUCUUCCUGACGGAUGUGACGGCCAACUUCCUGACUGUGAGGAUCGGGGAGUGCAAGAAGCGGCCGGAGGUUUUCAAGGACACGACCGACCCAAACCAGAAUUCCCAGUGCUCGAUUGUGUGAUGUGUUGUGAUUGUGAAUAUGUCUUGACUUUGCUGGUGAAGGUUUCCAUGGCAAAUAGGAUCAUACUGAAAAGAUAUUAGCCGGGGGUCUUCAAGGACACGACCGACCCAAACCAGAAAUCCUAGUACUCAAUUAUGUGGUUAUUGUGAAUAUGUCUUGACUUUGCUGGUGAAGGUUUCCAUGGUGAACAGGAUCAUACUGAAAGGAUAUUAGCAUGGAAAGAUAUUGUUGUGCUGUGUUCGUGGGAGUCCCGUAAACAAACAUGUGGGUACAGCUAUUACUGGACGCAAAAUGUUAUUGUAAAGCCUGCUGGAUACAUUUGACAAGCAUAGAAAACCACCUAAAAAUUACAAGUUAAAACUCUGUCAUCACUUGCAGAAUUGGAAGUCCAAACAAUCUAAACUGAUACUUCAAAGGAAGCUCACAGCCUUAGGAUUACUUUAGGCAUUUGGGUUUGAGUCUUGGUGCAAAGCCAGAUUUUUAAGAAAUUUAUUUAUAAAAUUGUACGGGCCGUGAACACCUCGUGUGUGACCCCCUGCUGCUCACAAGCCGUACACCAAUUAGCCCAGUAGCAGCGACGGGACAAAUUUGUGGCUUUACCGUGGAGCAGCGACGAGCCAAACUUGUGCCAUGAUUUAAACCCCAAAAAAUAGAUGAUACAUAAGCUGAUCACAAAUGUUUUGAUAUAUACUAUGAAAUGGUUUGUGUGAGGGGUGAUUUUUUCUCAUUUUUCUCGCUUAGAGGGACCAUUAAGAAACAUGAUCCCCGCUGCUACCGGGUUGAAAAAAACAAAACUUCCUAUGGAGAAAAAAUAUUCUCUGGGGAAGCUCAAGAGAUAGAGGAAGGCCAUUUCCUGAGGAGUAUUAUGCACUCUUUGUUAUGCCUGUCAGGGCAAACACAGAUUUUUAAUUAAUAUUUUCCCACUAGUACUAUGGGUUGUCCACCUCACCCUACAAUGGAAACAAUAUAACAUUUGAAAAACCAUUCUAUUCCACCUUCUGUAUAAAAAGAGAUGUUAUAUGUUUUUUCCUAUUUUAGUCAUGGAAUUUACUGUUGUGCAGAAUAUUGUUGAACACUUGGGCACUUAAACAGGAGGAGGCUUUUCAAACAGGCAAAUGUUGGUGCCCAGAUGUUUAAAAAUGCUGCUUGGAAGUCUGGAAGAGUGGCUGGAAUCUGCGACGUCUUUGCUGAUGGGGUCUUCGUGGUGCAGUGGUUAGCACACUCAGCUCACAACCAAGAGAGCACGGGGUCGAUUCCCAGGCGGAGUGGAAAAAUUUGGGCGGCUUUUCCGAUACCCUACGCCCCUGUCCACCCAGCAGUGAAUGGGUACCAGGUAUUAAUCGGGGGUUGUGUCCCGUCUCCUGGGGUUUGUUCCCUUCUAUAAUUCCUUCCCAUUCUGUCUCUCUCCGGCACAUGACCACAGAUGUUGCGCCCACUAAACAAAACUUUCCAACUUUUUCUCUGGUGAUUCUCUGUACAGGCAGUGGUUCGGAAGGUGUACUAGACUGCCUCCAGCUGACUGUUUGAGGCUCUACCAUGUCUUCCGGUCAUGGUUUUAGGGUUUCCGCCGUCCAUAAGCUUAAGAAAUCUUGUGUACUGUAUUUCCAAGCUUCUGAAAAUGGACCCAAAAUAUAAUACUGAGUGCCUCUCUAAUGUUUAUCUCUAUGUAUAGGGAAGGGAGUUGUAUCAUAGCCUGUUAAGAAUAUUAAGGUGUCUAUUGUGUAUUUCCA